Long non-coding RNA from Cotesia glomerata, 1257 nucleotides. RefSeq lists it as uncharacterized. The transcript is spliced from 4 exons. Lineage: Eukaryota; Metazoa; Arthropoda; Insecta; Hymenoptera; Braconidae. The record is from RefSeq and is a predicted model, not a curated record.
UCAAGAAUUUUUCUCUUGAAUCAAGUUAAUUUUUUUUUUCAGUGCAGGCUCUCAAGCUCUCUAUAAAACUGGAUCACAACCAACUAAAGUAUUUCUUCACUUUUAAAACCACCACUGGAUUUUUAUUGUAAACUUAAAGUCUAUAAAUUAAAACAAAGAAACAAUUAUUAUUAAAAUAAAAUCCAACACUUACUAAAUUAAAUUAAUUACUUGAUCUUAAAAACUCUCGUUAAUAAAUCACGUAAUCAUGAUUUGUAAACACAAGAUGAAGAAAAAUAGAAGAAAUAUUAGGAGGGAGGAACACUAUCAGUUGCUGGUGGAUGUUGAUAGUCUUGUUGGUCCCCUGGACGCUGUCGUGGUGGUUGUCGUACUCACUCAGUUAAAUUAUUUCUCGUCAACUCCGAAGCAACCGCAAAUAAUGCAUGUGGGGGAGCCAAUUCUACCGGAUUCCACCUCCUCGAGCGUUGCAUCUCCCAUUCUCCGACUUGGCUUUGCCAUUCUCCGUCACAUUGCCACCAGCGUAUAUAAUAAUAAUAAUAAGAGUAGGUACCAAUACUCUCUUGCUUUUACUCCCUCUCUAGUGAGUACAAUACAAACCACAAGUUUAACAACUACGUUGCCGUGUUACAAAUACAUGUGCUGUUGUUCAUGAUGUUGAGAUGCCAUUGUCCUUUACUCUCUUGGUGUACCAACUAAUACUCCAAACUCACUCCGUGAGAGUACCCGCUUCACUCUAUAAUAUAUUGUUCAUGUUAAUAAUAAGAAAAUUUCAAGUGGUCACUGGAGGGUGAAAGAAUAAAUACAUACCAAGAGUGUUAAAAAAAUGGGUAACCUGAAUUGAAAACGACACAAUUUGAAUUAAAUAAAAGUAAUAAUAGACAAAAGACCAAACAAUCAACUAACUGUCAGUUUAAUGAAGAAACUCUAUGGGUUUCCGGGAACGUAACUUAGUCAGCUACUCCCUGGUACAAUGGCAUUAAUAUAAAUGUUGCGAUCAGGGAGACCGGUAUUAUGAAUAUAGUGCCGCAACAGGCGGGUGACUCGAUUUAUGUCACGCAAUAUGUAUACAAUUGUAUUCCAAGCUACUGAACCUCGAGGGAGGAACAUUGGACUGUUUUCCUGGGAUUUUUCUUCACCAGUAUCAACAAUAUCAAUAUACAUUUGUACAAACACACACAUAGAGAACGCAUUCCUACACAAAUCUAUUACAAUUUCAUUUUCAUUGUACUAUUAAUAAAUAUUAUUACAUUUUAUUGA